UACGGAGGGUGCAAGCGUUAUCCGGAUUCACUGGGUUUAAAGGGUGCGUAGGUGGGCUUGUAAGUCAGUGGUGAAAUCUCCGUGCUUAACAUGGAAACUGCCAUUGAUACUAUGGGUCUUGAAUUAUCUGGAGGUCAGCGGAAUAUGUCAUGUAGCGGUGAAAUGCUUAGAGAUGCGGAGGAACACCGAUGGCGAAGGCAGCCCCCUGGGCCGACACUGACGCUCAUGCACGAAAGCGUGGGGAGCAAACAGG
RNAcentral lists this ribosomal RNA (253 nucleotides) under uncultured bacterium. RNAcentral describes it as "partial 16S ribosomal RNA". It matches the Rfam family "Bacterial small subunit ribosomal RNA", at positions 524 to 776 of the family's 1533-position model. The record is from RNAcentral.